GGGGGGGGGGGGGGGGGGGGGGGGGGGAGGGGGGGCGGGGGAGCAGGGGAGGGGGUGGCUCCGUGGACGUGAGCGGCGGACGGGUGAGUAACACGUGGGGAACCUACCUAUAAGAGUGGGAUAACUUCGGGAAACCGGAGCUAAUACCGGAUAAUAUUUCGAACCGCAUGGUUCGAUAGUGAAAGAUGGUUUUGCUAGCACUUAUAGAUGGACCCGCGCCGUAUUAGCUAGUUGGUAAGGUAACGGCUUACCAAGGCGACGAUACGUAGCCGACCUGAGAGGGUGAUCGGCCACACUGGAACUGAGACACGGUCCAGACUCCUACGGGAGGCAGCAGUAGGGAAUCUUCCGCAAUGGGCGAAAGCCUGACGGAGCAACGCCGCGUGAGUGAUGAAGGUCUUCGGAUCGUAAAACUCUGUUAUUAGGGAAGAACAUACGUGUAAGUAACUGUGCACGUCUUGACGGUACCUAAUCAGAAAGCCACGGCUAACUACGUG
RNAcentral lists this ribosomal RNA (497 nucleotides) under uncultured bacterium. Its description in RNAcentral is "partial 16S ribosomal RNA". It matches the Rfam family "Bacterial small subunit ribosomal RNA", at positions 1 to 507 of the family's 1533-position model. The record is from RNAcentral.